UACGUAGGGGGCAAGCGUUGUCCGGAAUCAUUGGGCGUAAAGAGCGUGUAGGCGGCCUGGUAAGUCCGCUGUGAAAGUCCAGGGCUCAACCCUGGAAUGCCGGUGGAAACUGUCAGGCUCGAGUCCGGAAGAGGCGAGUGGAAUUCCUGGUGUAGCGGUGAAAUGCGCAGAUAUCAGGAGGAACACCAAUGGCGAAGGCAGCUCGCUGGGACGGUACUGACGCUCAUGCACGAAAGCGUGGGGAGCAAACAGG
This 253-nucleotide ribosomal RNA is filed under the name uncultured bacterium. RNAcentral describes it as "partial 16S ribosomal RNA". It matches the Rfam family "Bacterial small subunit ribosomal RNA", at positions 524 to 776 of the family's 1533-position model. The record is from RNAcentral.